GAUGAACGCUGGCGUCGUGCCUAAUACAUGCAAGUCGAGCGAACGGACGAGAAGCUUGCUUUUCUGAUGUUAGCGGCGGACGGGUGAGUAACACGUGGAUAACCUACCUAUAAGACUGGGAUAACUUCGGGAAACCGGAGCUAAUACCGGAUAAUAUUUUGAACCGCAUGGUUCAAAAGUGAAAGACGGUCUUGCUGUCACUUAUAGAUGGAUCCGCGCUGCAUUAGCUAGUUGGUAAGGUAACGGCUUACCAAGGCAACGAUGCAUAGCCGACCUGAGAGGGUGAUCGGCCACACUGGAACUGAGACACGGUCCAGACUCCUACGGGAGGCAGCAGUAGGGAAUCUUCCGCAAUGGGCGAAAGCCUGACGGAGCAACGCCGCGUGAGUGAUGAAGGUCUUCGGAUCGUAAAACUCUGUUAUUAGGGAAGAACAUAUGUGUAAGUAACUGUGCACAUCUUGACGGUGCCUAAUCAGAAAGCCACGGCUAACUACGUG
RNAcentral lists this ribosomal RNA (497 nucleotides) under uncultured bacterium. Its description in RNAcentral is "partial 16S ribosomal RNA". It matches the Rfam family "Bacterial small subunit ribosomal RNA", at positions 28 to 507 of the family's 1533-position model. The record is from RNAcentral.